Molecule: long non-coding RNA, 631 nt
Organism: Corapipo altera (White-ruffed manakin)
Lineage: Eukaryota; Metazoa; Chordata; Aves; Passeriformes; Pipridae
Exons: 3
Source: RefSeq, a predicted model, not a curated record
CUGGCUCUGCACAGGACAACCCAAACUGUCACCCCAUAAGAGGGUUACGCCCUCCUGUGUUAACAGGCAUUUCCAAAUAUCGUCAGGAACGUUUUCAUUGUGCCUUCCUCUCUUUUUCCUGUUAUAAGCACCUUUGGAGUUAUAUGCUUAAAUCUACUCGUGAAAUUAGCAGAUAUUCUCAUUAGACGCUGAUGACAAAUCUACAUACAACCUUAUUUUUCCUUUUGCCACUACGUACAAUCUUACUUCUUUCCUUUUGCCAGUGAAGGCUGGUGUGAGAUGUCCACACAGUCAGCAGUCUUGCUCCGGAAUGGAAGGAAGCAGCAGAAGCUGGCAACAGGAAUGGGUUUUUAACGAGCUGAAUUCUAUGGACGUGUUGUUAGAUGCUCCUGAGCUUUUUACUGUAAACAGAGCAAAGUGUUUGGACUUUUUAGCAAUUAUUUAGAAGAAAAUCAGUGACAGACUGGGACUCUUGUGAAGGAAAGACAUGAGGGGAAUGGAGAGACGUUCAUGAAGCACAUGAAUGCAAAGCAGCAAGAAAAAAGAGAGACCUCUUGAUAAACUACAAGAAAGACCUUUCUACAAAUAGUUGGCAGAUUUUUUGUCUGGAAUUAUUUUAUUUGAUCAAUAA